This 429-nucleotide ribosomal RNA is filed under the name bacterium. RNAcentral describes it as "partial 16S ribosomal RNA". It matches the Rfam family "Bacterial small subunit ribosomal RNA", at positions 355 to 776 of the family's 1533-position model. The record is from RNAcentral.
UAGGGAAUCUUCCACAAUGGACGCAAGUCUGAUGGAGCAACGCCGCGUGAGUGAAGAAGGUUUUCGGAUCGUAAAGCUCUGUUGUUGGUGAAGAAGGAUAGAGGUAGUAACUGGCCUUUAUUUGACGGUAAUCAACCAGAAAGUCACGGCUAACUACGUGCCAGCAGCCGCGGUAAUACGUAGGUGGCAAGCGUUGUCCGGAUUUAUUGGGCGUAAAGCGAGCGCAGGCGGAAGAAUAAGUCUGAUGUGAAAGCCCUCGGCUUAACCGAGGAACUGCAUCGGGAACUGUUUUUCUUGAGUGCAGAAGAGGAGAGUGGAAUUCCAUGUGUAGCGGUGGAAUGCGUAGAUAUAUGGAAGAACACCAGUGGCGAAGGCGACUCUCUGGUCUGCAACUGACGCUGAGGCUCGAAAGCAUGGGUAGCGAACAGG